GAAAAGUUUCUUAUCCAAAUGGAAGAGAAAGGCUGUUCUCCUGAUGAUUGCACCUAUAGCACAAUUAUCCGAGGGUUCAUCCAUAAUAAACAGACAUCAAGGGCGAUGGUACUUAUUCAAACAAUGGUAGAGAAGGGGUUUUCUGCAGAUGCAUCAACAACAGAGUUAAUAGUUAAUUUACUGUCGAAAGACCUGCUUUGUUGAUAAAAGGAUCACUGUGAAAUUAAUAUGCAUCUGUGGACAAUGAAAUUUGAAACUGCUGCACCUUUGACGACCAUGAAGGCAUUUCAGUGGUUUGUGCGUAUGGUAGGAGGUGAAAAUGCCUUCUCACUUGAAUCCUUAAUUUCUGGCAUUAAUUCUGUUUAAUUUGAUUUCUGUUGUAUUUGUAUGGGACAAUAGGAGAACCUCUGUUUCAACAAAAAGAUCCCAUGCAAACCAUUGUUCACUGAUGCAAAGGCGCAAUUGAAGGUCAACCCAAUGCAGCUGUGCAUUACAUUGCAUUUAUUAAGGGUUAUAUUGUAUCAUUUUGGUUAUAACACAUUGAAGGUUUCUAG
RNAcentral lists this long non-coding RNA (554 nucleotides) under Prunus dulcis (almond). RNAcentral's name for it is "sRNA ncRNA". Lineage: Eukaryota; Viridiplantae; Streptophyta; Magnoliopsida; Rosales; Rosaceae. The record is from RNAcentral.